CUCCUUGGUGUGUGAAAGACAAAGACGAUUGUAUAAGAAUCAUAUGGUGAAAGAAGGUUAAAUAUGAACAAUUUAGCAACUUUGACUGAAGUAAAGCUGGGUUUUAGGAGCAUGUAACUACAUGAUGUCAAAAACUAUUGACUUGAUGGGCUGAGCACAUUAUUACCAUUUGGAUGAUUUAACAGAAUAAGUUUAUAACUCAUAGUCAAUGUUAUGACAGGAAACUGAAUUGAAAGAUUAAAUUUGCCCAAGACUUUGCUUCCUGUAAUCUCAUGUAAAGUUCUUUUAAUCACCUCAAUCAGAAAAUUUAACUUUAUGUUAAACACCGCCAAUUGAAAUAUGAAAUAACAUUAAUCUCAUCAUAAAGUUUACAUUUUAACCUGCACUUACGAUCUCUGGAUUGUUUUAUAGCAGGAGGAGUCACAACAAUAAAUACAGGACUGUCCCAUGGAUUAA
Molecule: long non-coding RNA, 456 nt
Organism: Sphaeramia orbicularis (orbiculate cardinalfish)
Lineage: Eukaryota; Metazoa; Chordata; Actinopteri; Kurtiformes; Apogonidae
Exons: 2
Source: RefSeq, a predicted model, not a curated record